RNAcentral lists this long non-coding RNA (459 nucleotides) under Erythranthe guttata (spotted monkey flower). RNAcentral describes it as "long non-coding RNA (EGUT_LNC003368)". Lineage: Eukaryota; Viridiplantae; Streptophyta; Magnoliopsida; Lamiales; Phrymaceae. The record is from RNAcentral.
UCAAGAUUUUUGGUCGCGACCCUAUUCGUCUCAUCUCUUCGUCGGAGGUGGGUUUGGAGGCGGCAUCAUCCGGGCCGGAUGAAGCAUCCAUGGCGAGGAACAGAUUUGAGAAGAAGGAGACGGAGAAAGAAGAUGAGGUUUUGAGAAAUUAUGAAAAUUGCAAUUUGGUCCUAUGCAAUUUGGAGAGAGGGCAGCGGCUGCGGCGUGGUUGAAUCGGAGAGUCGGCCAAUGAUUCUUCGAGUUUGACAUUCUUCUUCUUCUUAUUCUUCCUGAAGGUACGAAUUAAGUUUUCACAAAUUGGAAGAAAAUGCUAUGGAAAUUGAAAGAAAUUUCUUUGAAGGGUUUUUGUAUAUUUUUUUGUUUGGGCAGGGAUGUGCCGAAAAAUUUUGAGGAGCCGUUUUUCUUCCAUUUUGUUUUCUUGGAUUUGGAAUAGAAAUGAAAUUCAUGUUCAGAUAUGGG